RNAcentral lists this ribosomal RNA (92 nucleotides) under Paenibacillus lautus. The record is from RNAcentral. Lineage: Bacteria; Bacillati; Bacillota; Bacilli; Caryophanales; Paenibacillaceae. RNAcentral also lists the same sequence under 4 other names.
CACGCGUUCCCAUACCGAACACGACCGUUAAGCCUUCCAGCGCCGAUGGUACUUGGACCGAAGGGUCCCGGGAGAGUAGGACGUCGCCAAGC